RNAcentral lists this ribosomal RNA (521 nucleotides) under uncultured Glomus. Its description in RNAcentral is "SSU rRNA". It matches the Rfam family "Eukaryotic small subunit ribosomal RNA", at positions 569 to 1093 of the family's 1831-position model. The record is from RNAcentral. Lineage: Eukaryota; Fungi; Glomeromycota; Glomeromycetes; Glomerales; Glomeraceae.
AGCAGCCGCGGUAAUUCCAGCUCCAAUAGCGUAUAUUAAAGUUGUUGCAGUUAAAAAGCUCGUAGUUGAAUUUCGGGGUCAGUAGAUUGGUCAUGCCAUUGGUAUGCACUGGUCUUACUGGCUCCUCCUUCCUGAUGAACCGUAAUGCCAUUAAUUUGGCGUUGCGGGGAGACUGGACUGUUACUUUGAAAAAAUUAGAGUGUUUAAAGCAGGCUAACGCUUGAAUACAUUAGCAUGGAAUAAUGAAAUAGGACGUUCGAUCUUAUUUUGUUGGUUUCUAAGAUUGACGUAAUGAUUAAUAGGGAUAGUUGGGGGCAUUAGUAUUCAAUUGUCAGAGGUGAAAUUCUUGGAUUUAUUGAAGACUAACUACUGCGAAAGCUUUUGCCAAGGAUGUUUUCAUUAAUCAAGAACGAAAGUUAGGGGAUCGAAGACGAUCAGAUACCGUCGUAGUCUUAACCAUAAACUAUGCCGACUAGGAUCGGAUGAUGUUAAUUUUUUAAUGACUCAUUCGGCGCUUACGG